RNAcentral lists this ribosomal RNA (433 nucleotides) under uncultured bacterium. RNAcentral's name for it is "partial 16S ribosomal RNA". It matches the Rfam family "Bacterial small subunit ribosomal RNA", at positions 29 to 507 of the family's 1533-position model. The record is from RNAcentral.
AACGAACGCUGGCGGCAUGCCUAACACAUGCAAGUCGAACGAGACCUUCGGGUCUAGUGGCGCACGGGUGCGUAACGCGUGGGAACCUGCCCUUAGGUUCGGAAUAACUCCCCGAAAGGGGUGCUAAUACCGGAUAAUGUCUUCGGACCAAAGAUUUAUCGCCUUUGGAUGGGCCCGCGUUGGAUUAGCUAGUUGGUAGGGUAAAAGCCUACCAAGGCGACGAGCCAUAGCUGGUCUGAGAGGAUGAUCAGACACACUGGGACUGAGGCACGGCCCAGACUCCUACCGGAGGCAGCAGUGGGGAAUCUUGGACACUGGGCGAGAGCCUGAUCCAGCCAUGCCGCGUGAGUGAUGAAGGCCUUAGGGUUGUAAAGCUCUUUUACCCGGGAUGAUAAUGACAGUACCGGGAGAAUAAGCGCCGGCUAACUCCGUG